Molecule: ribosomal RNA, 253 nt
Filed under: uncultured bacterium
Lineage: Bacteria
Description: partial 16S ribosomal RNA
Rfam family: Bacterial small subunit ribosomal RNA
Source: RNAcentral
UACAGAGGGUGCGAGCGUUAAUCGGAAUUACUGGGCGUAAAGCGCGCGUAGGCGGCUUUUCAAGUCGAUUGUGAAAUCCCCGGGCUUAACCUGGGAACUGCGUUUGAAACUACAAGGCUAGAGUGUGGCAGAGGGGGGUGGAAUUCCACGUGUAGCAGUGAAAUGCGUAGAGAUGUGGAGGAACACCGAUGGCGAAGGCAGCCCCCUGGGUUAACACUGACGCUCAGGCACGAAAGCGUGGGGAGCAAACAGG